Molecule: unclassified non-coding RNA, 132 nt
Filed under: uncultured Hyaloscyphaceae
Lineage: Eukaryota; Fungi; Ascomycota; Leotiomycetes; Helotiales
Description: sequence contains ITS1
Source: RNAcentral
CCGAGUUCAUGCCCUCACGGGUAGAUCUCCCACCCUAUGUUAUCAUUACCUUCGUUGCUUUGGCGGGCGCUUACCAGCCGGAGGACCCUAAACUCUGAAUGUUAGUGUCGUCUGAGUACUAUCUAAUAGUUA